Molecule: ribosomal RNA, 254 nt
Filed under: uncultured bacterium
Lineage: Bacteria
Description: partial 16S ribosomal RNA
Rfam family: Bacterial small subunit ribosomal RNA
Source: RNAcentral
UACGGAGGAUCCAAGCGUUAUCCGGAAUUACUGGGCGUAAAGAGUUGCGUAGGCGGUAAUAUAAGCAAAAUAUGAAAUAGUGUGGCUCAACCAUACUGCUAUAUUUUGAACUGUUUUACUAGAGGACAAGAGAGGUUAUUGGAAUUCCUAGUGUAGGAGUGAAAUCCGUAGAUAUUAGGAGGAACACCGAUGGCGUAGGCAGGUAACUGGCUUGUUCCUGACGCUAAGGCACGAAAGCGUGGGUAGCAAACGGG